GACCGGUUGGCGCAAUGGUAGCGUAUAGACCUCCUACUCCAUCACACAACCACCAUUCCAAUAAAGAAUGUGUCUUGUGUUGUAGAGGUCAGUCUAGGGUUGCGGGUUCGAGUCCCGUGCUGGUCG
Molecule: non-coding RNA, 126 nt
Organism: Nemania abortiva
Lineage: Eukaryota; Fungi; Ascomycota; Sordariomycetes; Xylariales; Xylariaceae
Source: the annotation of a GenBank genome assembly